GCUACAAAUCUUUGCCCUCUUCUUUCCUCUGGACCCUGGAAGCAUUUCUCCUUUGCCAGCUAAUGAAAUGCUAAACUUCCCCAGUAGAGGGCGCUGAGGCCAUACUGCAGAGCUACUGCAAAAGGCACAUCACAGCCUUCCUGCGCUUAGGAACCUAGACCACACUUGAGCACUGUGCCUGGGCAUCAUUAGUGACAUCAUCAACAAAAAGGACAAAAGCAUGUAAAACAUGACACUAGACAGACUGCGAAAAGGACACUUGUUUACAGUAUGAGAGCUGAAACAAGAAGGCAGAGCACCACCUUGUUUGAGCUCACCUGGGAAAGUGUGCGUCGAACAAUUCAAAUUGUUCCUGCUCUGCAAACGUCUGCAAAAGACCUGGCAAGUACCAUGGGGGCACUAAUCAAUUUUACCAAGUAAGUGAACUGGCAAAUUUGGAAAGUGUGAGUAAUGAGGAUCAAGCAUGUAUAUAUACUGUAUAUGCGCGCACGUGCGCACACACACACUCACACACACUUAUACACGAAGAGAGGGAGAGCAAAUGAACACAUCAAAAUGUGAAUCUGGAUGGAGGGGAUAUGGGAGUUGUGAGUACUAUUUCUUGCAGCUCUCGUCUAAAUUUGAAAUUAUUUCCAAAUAAAAGGCCUUGAAAUGUAAAUUAA
This is a non-coding RNA of Vicugna pacos (alpaca), 662 nucleotides long. The record is from RefSeq and is a predicted model, not a curated record. NCBI's taxonomy places the organism in Eukaryota, Metazoa, Chordata, Mammalia, Artiodactyla, Camelidae.